GAAUUCGGGAGAGAGCUUUUUAGAGCCGCCGAAGGGGUAAUACUCUCAGGCAAAAGGACCGUA
Molecule: non-coding RNA, 63 nt
Filed under: pig gut metagenome
Description: Glycine riboswitch
Rfam family: Glycine riboswitch aptamer (bases 6-61)
About the family: This family represents the bacterial glycine riboswitch. Glycine riboswitches usually consist of two metabolite-binding aptamers domains with similar structures in tandem.
Source: RNAcentral